AGAGUUUGAUCAUGGCUCAGAUUGAACGCUGGCGGCAGGCCUAACACAUGCAAGUCGAACGGUAACAGGAAGAAGCUUGCUUCUUUGCUGACGAGUGGCGGACGGGUGAGUAAUGUCUGGGAAACUGCCUGAUGGAGGGGGAUAACUACUGGAAACGGUAGCUAAUACCGCAUAACGUCGCAAGACCAAAGAGGGGGACCUUCGGGCCUCUUGCCAUCGGAUGUGCCCAGAUGGGAUUAGCUUGUUGGUGGGGUAACGGCUCACCAAGGCGACGAUCCCUAGCUGGUCUGAGAGGAUGACCAGCCACACUGGAACUGAGACACGGUCCAGACUCCUACGGGAGGCAGCAGUGGGGAAUAUUGCACAAUGGGCGCAAGCCUGAUGCAGCCAUGCCGCGUGUAUGAAGAAGGCCUUCGGGUUGUAAAGUACUUUCAGCGGGGAGGAAGGGAGUAAAGUUAAUACCUUUGCUCAUUGACGUUACCCGCAGAAGAAGCACCGGCUAACUCCGUGCCAGCAGCCGCGGUAAUACGGAGGGUGCAAGCGUUAAUCGGAAUUACUGGGCGUAAAGCGCACGCAGGCGGUUUGUUAAGUCAGAUGUGAAAUCCCCGGGCUCAACCUGGGAACUGCAUCUGAUACUGGCAAGCUUGAGUCUCGUAGAGGGGGGUAGAAUUCCAGGUGUAGCGGUGAAAUGCGUAGAGAUCUGGAGGAAUACCGGUGGCGAAGGCGGCCCCCUGGACGAAGACUGACGCUCAGGUGCGAAAGCGUGGGGAGCAAACAGGAUUAGAUACCCUGGUAGUCCACGCCGUAAACGAUGUCGACUUGGAGGUUGUGCCCUUGAGGCGUGGCUUCCGGAGCUAACGCGUUAAGUCGACCGCCUGGGGAGUACGGCCGCAAGGUUAAAACUCAAAUGAAUUGACGGGGGCCCGCACAAGCGGUGGAGCAUGUGGUUUAAUUCGAUGCAACGCGAAGAACCUUACCUGGUCUUGACAUCCACGGAAGUUUUCAGAGAUGAAUUGGUGCCUUCGGGAACUGUGAGACAGGUGCUGCAUGGCUGUCGUCAGCUCGUGUUGUGAAAUGUUGGGUUAAGUCCCGCAACGAGCGCAACCCUUAUCCUUUGUUGCCAGCGGUCCGGCCGGGAACUCAAAGGAGACUGCCAGUGAUAAACUGGAGGAAGGUGGGGAUGACGUCAAGUCAUCAUGGCCCUUACGACCAGGGCUACACACGUGCUACAAUGGCGCAUACAAAGAGAAGCGACCUCGCGAGAGCAAGCGGACCUCAUAAAGUGCGUCGUAGUCCGGAUUGGAGUCUGCAACUCGACUCCAUGAAGUCGGAAUCGCUAGUAAUCGUGGAUCAGAAUGCCACGGUGAAUACGUUCCCGGGCCUUGUACACACCGCCCGUCACACCAUGGGAGUGGGUUGCAAAAGAAGUAGGUAGCUUAACCUUCGGGAGGGCGCUUACCACUUUGUGAUUCAUGACUGGGGUGAAGUCGUAACAAGGUAACCGUAGGGGAACCUGCGGUUGGAUCACCU
This 1530-nucleotide ribosomal RNA is filed under the name Escherichia coli KTE40. RNAcentral's name for it is "bacterial SSU rRNA". It matches the Rfam family "Bacterial small subunit ribosomal RNA". Lineage: Bacteria; Pseudomonadati; Pseudomonadota; Gammaproteobacteria; Enterobacterales; Enterobacteriaceae. The record is from RNAcentral.